CAGCAACUUCCAGAGGUGCAUGCAGGCCCUCUCCCGCAAUAAAAGCCCCGGCCCGGACGGCAUCCCGAACGAGCUACUGAAGUGCAUGCCAGAGGCGUUACAAUCCGCUGUCCAUACCCUCAUGUGCGUCGCGUGGAUUAAGGCCGAACUCCCGGCCGGCUGGUCCACAAGCGACACCAUUCUCCUGUACAAAAAGGCAGACCCGCUCUCCAUCUCUAACUACAGGCCUAUUGCGCUGUGCAACACACUGUACAAGCUGUAUACCAGCUUAGUCACCCGGGCGGCAACUGAAGCGUGCACAGAUCUUCUCAUCCACAGCGAAGCACAAGAGGGCUUUCAGAAGCACAAGGGAACAGAACGCCAAAUCAUGAACUUACUGCAUGUAAUCGAAGACGCAGCCUUAACAAAACGAGACCUAUAUGUCGCAUACAUUGAUUUCUCGAACGCCUUCGGUACCAUUGACCACGACCGUUUGCUUACAAUAAUGCACCACCUGGGCCUACCAACCGACUUUAUUGAAGUCGUACGCAAUCUGUACUCCUCCGCAAACACCACAAUCCGCACAACACACGGCCGCACCAACCCUGUUCACAUACGGCGCGGCACUAUGCAGGGUGACACCCUAUCGCCCCUACUGUUCAUUAUCUUCCUUGAACCGCUGCUGCGGUGGCUCCACUACGGGGGACGAGGCUACCGGUACGGCUGUCUCACCAACAGCGAAAACGACGAACAUAACUGCUCGUCCCUAGGCUACGCGGACGACCUGACUGUAGCUGCCAACUCCCGAGACAACCUUAGGUGCCAAACUGACAAGAUCGCCCGGUACGCUGCCUGGGGCGGCAUGCGCAUCAACCGCGACAAGAGCGCGUGCACUGGCAUACUACACCACUAUGCAAGCGCCAACAGUACGGACAAGAGCAUUAAGGGCCCCGCCUGUGACCGCACCCUCAAACGCCUCCUGGCGGGCCACAUCCAUGUCGGCACAUGCACCAAAGACGGCAAGCGAUCCGCCAUCACCCUCCCUUACAUCCCCCCGCACAAGCCCUACCGAUACCUCGGUGUUGAAAUCACUAUGACACUAGACUGGCGCUCCCAACUGAAAGCGGUCAAAGCCGACCUAACCGACGCCGGCGAGGAGCUGAGCAGGUACCGAAAACUCCCACGCCAAUGCUACAUGCUCAUCAAACAGUGCCUGAAAGCCAAAGUGGCCUACUCCUUACCAACCAUGGCCUACACGCAGCCAGACAUUCGGGCCUUGGACGCCCAAAUCGCAGGCAUCGCUCGAAGAUGCGUCGGUCUACCACGCGAUUGCGCCACCCGCGCCAUCCUACUACCCGCCGAGCUAGGCGGCCUCGGGAUCGGCUCACUCCGGGAAGAAUACGUGCAGAGAGCCUCGAGGCUACUCGUAAUCUCGCUCAACGACACCGGCCGGCUUGGUGUCGUGACACGCCGCCUGCUCCACCUACAGGCCGCGCACGCAGGAAGUGACCUCCCACUGCACGACAUGAAAAGGGCGGGUCAAUUUUUUGUCACCCUUAAACAACUCACACUUCUACAGGACCACGACCUACUUGCCAUGCUGCAAGGCAAAGAAUUCACUGCCGCCCUACCAGCCCUUGUCUCUAAACUACGGGCCGCUGAAGCCACCACGCCCGCCUACCUUCGCGCCGACUGGAUCAGCCCCUUGACCAUCGACCUUGGACUGAACCUGGCGGACCUGGUGGACGCAAACACAGGGCGGCACAUUAUUGACACCACGCAGCUUGACCGGCGGUUCCCAAAAGGCAGGGUGAAAGACAAGCACAAGAGGGCCUUAAACCGAUUUACCAUCGCCCUAUGUAAACCGGCAGAAGCACCCCCCAAAUCUAUGGGCCACAAACCCCUCCCCAUGCAAAGCCGCACCCUGCCCGCCGGCGUCUCCAAGGCCGACCUCAAUUCAGCGGGAGACCUACCUAAACCCAUACCCCAACGAACUCUCACCUCCCUCCUGGCCCGCUGGCAAGAGGCACUACCGAGCCCCGCAGCUCCACCAAAGCCUUCCCUAGAAGUCCUGCAGGCAAAACCGAAGCAAACGGCAAAGCAACGUCAUUCUCACUUCAUCAAACACGACACACGCACAAGCAACCCCGAGGUCGUAGCCAAUGACGACGCCCUACCCGGCUCUACGGUUCAUGAUCCCUCCGACCCCACAAAGGACCUAGCUUUCUACAUGAGUGCCGCGAGGGAGUUCGCCCCACUCGCUCAACAAUGCAAAACCCUAGGGACCACGCGAUGGACGGGGACCUGGAGGUCCCCAAUCAGGCAAAUGCCAGCCCGCGCACUAAUCACCGGCCCACACACCCACACAGUCCACGCGCUACUAAAUACCCGGCCAUACCAGCAACCUGCUGCUCCCACGUACCAGCGGCUGUACCUACCCGAUGGCUGCCCCGCCACAGCCCCACCGCCCGCGCCCGCACACUCGCAUAACCGGCGUAAACGCGGCUCCCAACCCACUCGCUGCCCGUACACUCACCAUGCUAUUCAGCCGCGGGCCCCCACACGGGCAGCCGCACCCAGGAGAGACAGCGCAGCCGCGCAGCCAAGCUCCCGCCCUGCGUGGCGCAAAGUCAGAGACAAUGCGCUGAAUGGCCGCCUACCCCAGUCCAUCGCUGGGGUACAGGCAGCACAGCACAUCACCGCCCAUCUAACUAACCGCGACGACAUUAUCGCAGCCGUCGUCAGCGGACCCAUGACCCACAAAACUAACGCCCCGCCGCCCAAGCGAAAACGAAAGCAGGGCCCACCGCCCGAGGAGCCCCCCUGGGCAGAACGCUGUCGCUAUAGGGUUCGGUGGCAACCCACCCUGACCACAAACGGCAUCCUCCGAGCCUACGAGCUACAGAACUACAACGCCACUAGCACAACCAAACCCCCAUGCCGGCUAUGGGGGCAAGGCAUCCGGCGCUUCAUGGUCCAAGUGCACUGGGCUGAAACGGAAGACCCCCUCUCCUCACUCUCCCAAAACCCCGGGUGGGCGGCUGCCCUGGCACGCUACACUCUUGCCCAAGCCGUAGACGCGCCCCCUGACCCUACCCCGCCUCCCGCCCUUGACAAUCACCUCACCAGUAAGCAGCGCCAGGGCAGAUGGCGAGACCCAGCACCCAGCGAAGCCGCACGCAAACGUGCGAUCCUCCGGUGCAGCACCAUCGACGUCAAAUCCUGUAACCCGGACACAGACAUCCACCCGACAGGUCAAUACUGUAUUCAAAUGGGCACACGUGAGCCGGGCAGCGCCACAGGCACGCCGUCCGGCCUCCCCCAAGACCCCGACCCCCCCGCCAGGGUCUACGGCCCGGAUGGACGCUGCAUAGGAACCGUUAGCGCUGCCCGACUUGCCCUACUCCACGCCCGGUACAGGACCCUUAACCCCACUCACCCCCCGGAAAGGUUUGCUGCCGCUCUGGCCUCCCUGAUUAUACGGUACCGCCCCAGCAAACGCCACAAGGAGAGUUCCACCAACCCAGCGCACGAGGUAACCCUCUGCCCCGACCUGAUGUCCACGCUCACGUCCCAUAUCAAGUUCCAGACGGAGGCAUUCGCAUCUCCCCUCAACGCCCACUGCGACAUCCCAGCAUACUACACUACCCACCCGCAAGAUUCAGAGUUCGGGGCCGCCCACGACUGCUACAGCCGCACGCUAGAUGGAAUCUCCUUCGUUCACCCACCCCCACAACCCGAGCACACCAGCCUGGCCAUGGCGUGGGCGGUCGCCAGCGCCGAGGCGGCAACAACGCACACACCGCACCUGUCCGUCGUGGUGGUCCCGUAUGGCGACACAAGCGGCUACACAGCCUGGCUCCAACACCCACUGGUCCACGACCUGGGGCACAUCAAACCGGCGCACGCCUGGGCAGGCCUGGCCUCAGGCCUAGGCCAGCCGCAGGAGCUCCCCGCUCACCGACGUGG
Molecule: long non-coding RNA, 3948 nt
Filed under: Chlamydomonas reinhardtii
Lineage: Eukaryota; Viridiplantae; Chlorophyta; Chlorophyceae; Chlamydomonadales; Chlamydomonadaceae
Description: long non-coding RNA (CREI_LNC000011)
Source: RNAcentral